GAAAUAAUUUAUGUAAAGCACAUUUUGACUGGAAUUUUCAGUGGGUGAAUGGUGGUAAUGUUAUAUAAAUCCAGAAAGGUAAGUAAAGUCAGUUUGUGGAAGGUCUUAAAUGCCAGGAUAAGUGCUUGUAUUUUAUCCUAGAGGCAAUAACAACUCUUUAAUGGGUUUUGUGCAUAAGAGUGACAGACUAGUGCCUUAAAAAGAUUUCCUUGGUUGUGUGAAUGAUAAAUUGGAGAAAGAAAAAUUUGGACACAGGAAGACCCGCUAAGAAUCAGACAUUAAUUGAGCAAAAAGAAUAAAGAUACAAACUUAAUACAAAAAAAAUUGAGGGAAGAUAUUAGCAGUUGAGGGUAUCAGAAGUUUCAUAUAGGGGGCAGCUGGGUGGCUCAGUGGAUUGAAAGCCAGGACUAGAGAUGGGAGGUCCUAGGUUCAAAUCUGGCCUCAGUCACUUCCCAGCUGUGUGACUCUGGGCAAGUCACUUGGCCCCCAUUGCCUAGCCCUUACCACUCUUCUGCCUUGGAACCAAUACACAGUAUUGAUUCCAAGAUGGAAGGUAAGGUUUAAAAAAAAGAAAGAAAGAGAAGUUUCAUAUUGAAGGCGGUGCUUAGACCAUCUUGAAGGAAGAGAGGAUCUCUAAAGGACCAAAGUGAGGAGGGGGUGCAUUCCAGGCAUUGGAGAUAGCUAAUGCAAAGGCAUGGAAACAGAAGUAUUAUGGAUGAAAAGCCAAGAAGGUAAAUUUAUGUGGAUCAUAGAGUGUGGGGAGAUUAGCUAGAAAUAUAGCUUAGGGUCAAUUUAUGAAGGGCUUUAAAAGCUAAAGGGUCAGGAGUUUGUAUUUUAUCCUGGAGGCACAGGGAACCAUUUAAACUUCUUGAUCAGGGGAGUUACAUGUUCAGACCCAUGCUCUAGGAGUGUCUGUUUGGCAGCUUUCUGGUGGACAGAUUGGGGAGAAGAGACACUAAAAGUAGGAAGCCCAAUGAGGAGUCCCAAGUUAGAGGUGAUGACAAUCUGAAUUAGGAUCAUGACC
RNAcentral lists this long non-coding RNA (1024 nucleotides) under Monodelphis domestica (gray short-tailed opossum). RNAcentral describes it as "lncRNA (ENSMODG00000043716.1)". Lineage: Eukaryota; Metazoa; Chordata; Mammalia; Didelphimorphia; Didelphidae. The record is from RNAcentral.